UGGUGGCCAGGAUUGGGGGCCAUAAGUGUCCAAAUGUAGUGGCCCCAAGUGUCAGGUCCUUGGUGGCCCCAAGUGUCCAGAUUUGGUGGCCCCAAGCACCCAGAUCCUUGGUGGCCCCAUGGAAGUCAGGUGGCCACAAAUGUCCAUAUCUGGUGGCCCCAAACACCCAGUUCUUGGUGGCUUCAUUGAAAUCUGGUGGCCUCAAGUGUCCUGAUUCAGUGGCCCCAAGUGCCGGGGUCCUUGGUGGCCCCAAGUGUCCAGAUCUGGUGUCCCCAAGCACCCAGAUUCCUUGGUGGCCCCAUUGAAGUCAGGUGGCCACAAGUGUUCAGAUCCUGUGACUUCAAUCCCACAGCUCCUUGGUGGCCCCACUGGGGACCGGUGGCCCUAAACGUCCAGAUUUGGUGGCCCCAAGUAUCAGGGUCCUUGGUGGCCCCAAUUGUCCAGAUCUGGUGGCUCCAAGCUCCUUGUUCCUGAUGGCCCCAUUGAAGUCUGGUGGCCCCAAGCACCCAGCUUUUGGUGGCUUCAUUGAAAUCUGGUGGCCUCAAGUGUCCUGAUUUAGUGGCCCCAAGUGUUGGGGUCCUUGGUGGCCCCAAGUGUCCAGAUCUGGUGUCCCCAAGCACCCAGAUCCUUGGUGGCCCCAUUGGAGUCAGGUGGCUCCAAGUGUUCAGAUCCUUGUUGGCCACAAAUGUCCAGAUCUGGUGACUUCAAUCCCACAGCUCCUUGGUGGCCCCACUGGGGACCGGUGGCCCCAAAUGUCCAGAUUUGUUGGCCCCAAGUAUCAGGGUCUUUGGUGGCCCCAAGUGUCCAGAUCUGGUGGCUCCAAGCUCCUUGUUCCUGAUGGCCCCUUUGAAGUCUGGUGGCCCCAAGCACCCAGCUUUUGGUGGCUUCAUUGAAAUCUGGUGGCCUCAAGUGUCCUGAUUCAGUGGCCCCAAGUGCCGGGGUCCUUGGUGGCCCCAAGUGUCCAGAUCUGGUGUCCCCAAGCACCCAGAUUCCUUGGUGGCCCCAUUGGAGUCAGGUGGCCUCAAGUGUCCAGUUCCUUGUUGGCCACAAAUGUCCAGAUCUGGUGACCUCAAUCCCACAGCUCCUUGGUGGCCCCAUUGGGGACUGGUGGCCCCAAAUGUCCAGAUUUGUUGGCCCCAAGUAUCAGGGUCUUUGGUGGCCCCAAGUGU
Long non-coding RNA from Lagopus muta (rock ptarmigan), 1169 nucleotides. RefSeq lists it as uncharacterized. The record is from RefSeq and is a predicted model, not a curated record. Lineage: Eukaryota; Metazoa; Chordata; Aves; Galliformes; Phasianidae. The transcript has 3 exons.